Molecule: ribosomal RNA, 389 nt
Filed under: uncultured bacterium
Lineage: Bacteria
Description: bacterial SSU rRNA
Rfam family: Bacterial small subunit ribosomal RNA
Source: RNAcentral
GACGAACGCUGGCGGCGUGCUUAACACAUGCAAGUCGAGCGGUAAGGCCCUUUCGGGGGUACACGAGCGGCGAACGGGUGAGUAACACGUGGGUGACCUGCCCUCAGCUCUGGGAUAAGCCUGGGAAACCGGGUCUAAUACCGGAUAUGACUCCAUGACGCAUGUUGUGGGGUGGAAAGCCUUGUGCGGCUGAGGAUGGGCCCGCGGCCUAUCAGCUUGUUGGUGGGGUGAUGGCCUACCAAGGCGACGACGGGUAGCCGGCCUGAGAGGGGCGACCGGCCACACUGGGACUGAGACACGGCUCAGACUCCUACGGGAGGCAGCAGUGGGGAAUCUUGCGCAAGUGGGCGAAAGCCUGACGCAGCGACGCCGCGUGAGGGUGACGGCCU